RNAcentral lists this long non-coding RNA (9457 nucleotides) under Homo sapiens (human). Its description in RNAcentral is "HSALNT0381141". Lineage: Eukaryota; Metazoa; Chordata; Mammalia; Primates; Hominidae. The record is from RNAcentral.
GACUCAGGUGCCUUUGCUGUUGCCUCCUUAGGCUGGGAUUUCAUAUGUUCUCACCACUAGGUGCUGCCUACAUUAGGAAUGACGAUAAAGCCUCAGUCAUUUGUGUGCCAUUUGCCAUGUAAAGACAUAUGCUCUGAGCAUAUCUAGCUGUUUUAAAAUCUUUUUAACUGCCAUAUAACAUAUAGUCAUUCCUUAAAUAACUUAAUCCACUUCAAAAUGAGCUACAGUAGUAUCUGUUUCCUUUCCUGUCCUGCUUUCUUUCAUUCUGCUCUCUACUUUGGAAACAAUCAUGUUGGGCAUUUCUGCAGCUUAUUAACUAUAUUUUCAGCUGUGGAAAAACACGUAAGUGCUGGGAAAAUUUCUUUUUUCAAUAUUUUAGCAUAGAGUAUUGCUACUUAUAUUAAGAAUUUGGAAAAGAAAAAUGGUACCAAGACUAAAUUAUUAUACUCCGAAUGAGUGAGAUAUAUCUAGGAAGGAAGCAGAUGAUGAAAGUGAUUUCUUCAAAAGAGUGAAAAAUGAUAAAUGUACACAUGGUGGCGGGGGCGUUUGCCUGAGCUUCAGCCUGUUACUCUUCAUCAUUAAGGUUUAGACAUGUCUGCAACUUUUCAUCACACAGGUAUUAAGGGCAUAAAAAAACAUGUAUUCAAAUAGAGCCCAGAGUUUUUCUUGAGGAUGAGGAGAUGUGGUUAAAGGUGAAUCCACUGUUGGAAUUCAAAUAAAGCUGGGCAUGUGUGUCGAACUUAUGUGGUGGUCCAGUAGAAGUCUAGAAGGGUUAGGCUGUGGCACUAAUUAUCUUUCUGGGAAGAACUCACCCUAAUGGAAGAGAGAGCCAGUGGGGAUAAUCUUGCUUAUAUACGUUUCCUAGGCAUUGGUGAAGAGUAGGAAGUCAGCCUACGGCCUGUAUCCUGAAACGUGGCUAGGUCCUGGAGGAAGAAAGGGCUAGAAGCAAAAAUAGAACCUUUGUGUUAAACUGUCUAACUCACUGAGAGUCAAGAAAUACUUCCUUAGUAAGACCCCUCUUUAACCACAGAAGAAAUCAAUUCUCCUCACUCUAUUGCAGGCUGCUGGACAGUCUGGAUAUCCUCAAAGCAGCCACCAGGAGAUAAUGACCAGGCUGGAUCGAGCAGGAAGAAAGACAGGGUCAUUAGGCAGAACAGAGCACACAUGCAGCACCUAAUGGAUGCUGCAAAAGGCAGCAGGGCUGCUGAAGCCACAGGGGCAGUGGCAGGCAGUGGGAGAGGGUGUCCUUCCUGGUGGAGCCUCAAGUAAAGUAAAUGCAGGUGCUGAGAAAAUUGCUUCUGAGUACACAUGCGGUAUCACCUGGGAGUGCCUGGGAGGACUUGGAGAGGGGCACAUUUACAGUUAUGGACUUCCUGCAUGAGCAAGUAGGGCAUAAAUCCAGGUUAAUUGGGUUACGGGGAUAAAGAUUUAGUAAGCCUUUUGACUUACACAUCACAUAUAUAUGCUAUUUUAGUGCAGAAAGACUUAAAUUUUAAAUAUGUUUUAGAAGCAGUGAAGUUCAAAGGCCUCCUUUGGGGUCAAUUAAGACCUGCGUAUAUGUACCUUCAAAUGUUUAAGGGAGUUGCUCCUCAAUUUAGGGGCAGCUUAAGCGAAUACGUACCUAAAUAGGCAGAAAAAACUGGCCACUGAAAAGUCUUCUGUUUUCUGUUUUUAAACUUGUAGACUCAUAUUUGUACAUUACAUCAAGCUCCAAACAUGUAGGAACAUGCUGGUCACAAUAAACUAGUGAAUUCUGCCCCAAAUAUAUAUCUCAACAUGGUUUUUCCACUGCAGCAUGGUAUACAUUCAUAUCCUUCCCUCUAUAUCUUCUUAUUUCAUUUACAAGUGUUUUAUUUAUUAAGAUCUAUGUAAUGGGCUGUAAAGGUAACAUAGACGCAAAAGUUACAGACAGAAACCCUAUGGUUACUCCAUUCUUCUAUUUGUUACACAAUCCGUGUUAUGGCACAACUAAUAUGGUCACUUAAAUGUCCCAAGUCUGACAGUCAGUGAAAAUUCAUGAUACAACUUUAAGCUAUUGUAUUGAGUGUUUAUGUAAGUUCAAUGAAUAUAGGAAGAACACAUUGAAUUCUCACCUAUAAUGUUUUCUAUAAAUGUGUGAACCAGAAUCAAAUAUAUGAACAUAGGCUAGAAAAAAGCAGAGUGUUCCGUAAUAAUUCAAGGAGUAAAAUGUAUUAAUGCUUAUUUUUGUAUAAUUUAUAGCUUGGUCCUGUAGGAAAUUACUGGAGAUUACAAUGACAUUCAAAGGUAAAAGGAUUCAACAUUACAAAUGUUCCAUUUAAUUGUACCAGAAACAAGGUGCUGAAAGUAUGAUUUAAAUACAUAUACUUCAGAUUUUGGGCAGAAGGAGAUUGAAUUAUUGUUGAAUUUGGAUCCAGAGAAAAUAUUAUAUAAGGAUUAUAUAUACAUAUAUGAUUUACACAUAAUAUACAUUAAUAGGUAAUGGCAUAUAUAUGUUCAUACCCAAAUAUAGGAGGUGAUUUGAUGCUUAUGAGUUCUUGAAACACUGCUCUUUAACUGGGAAGAGAAAUUAUGAAGGGAAUAAUGAGGAAAAGCAAAAAAAGUAGCUUUCCUCCACCAGAUAACAGUUGGUAACUUUGCAAUUUUAAUGAAAAUCUAGCAAAUCAGGUAUUGUACAACUGUUUUCUCCUCACCAAAACAGGUAAGGAGGAAGCUCAUUUUCUACUGUUGAAGUCUACAGAUGAAAAUUCCUCUAAAAGUAAAACCAUCCCCAGUAGAUGUAAUUAGUCCAGUUUUUGGUCAUUAAUAGUUCAUUUAGGUUAAUCUAGAAAAUAUAAUUGCCAGUGACAGAGGAGGAGGUAAAGAAGUUUAUGAAUCAGUAAUCUAUGGAUUAAAUAUUUUUAUGUCUUUUAAAUCAUCUAAGUAAGUAAAUUACCAUCAUGUUCCUUUAAGGAAACGGCAGAAAAUUCAAGUCUACUCCCACUCGGCACACAAAUGAACCAUUCCAUAAUAAUAUUAUCUUGACUGCAAAAAGAACAGUCUUUGUUUACAUGUAAGCUGGAAAACUUUUAAAUAAUAAUCUUGAGGGUGGAGAAUAUACAGCACUCUCUUAGGUCAAAUUAUGACCACAGUUAUAACAGACAGUGCAAAAAGCUUUGAAAGGGAUAAGAUAAGACAAAGAGAAAUGACAGGAAAACAAAGUGGCCAAAGAAAUGUUUGGCAGAAGCCCAGCAUACUCCUGGCAUCCUCUCCCUAGGCCUUUUGCCUGUCUGCAGAAUUAUCACUUAUCUUCCACCAGCUUCUCUCUCUUUAAAGAAAGGCCAGUGUACCCCUUCCAAUGCUUCAUCAAUACCUCACAUGUCACAGAGUACAAUGUAAAUGGGCUACAAGCCCAUAUUUCAUGGUUCUCCAAAACAGCUUCUCAUAAGAACAAGGUUACGCAUUUGCAAGAUUUAUAAAACAGAGGGCUGAAUCUUAAUUAGGCCUGCACUGUUAAAUGAAAAUAUUUUCUUAGACACAUUGGCACUUUUCCCUUCAAGCCAAUAAUGCUCUCCUUCUCAAACUGUCUGCUUGCUUGUUUUAAAUAAAAGGUAAGUAGAUAUUUACUUAGAGUGAUAGAGGAAAUACACACCAACUACUUGGUAUAGUAGGUAGGUGGAAAGGGACAAGGAUCCAGAUGUUCUGAGUUACAUGCUGCUGCUGCCACUAGCUUGCUUUGUCACCUGGAGACAGUCAUUAAUCUUGAUGAACCUCCAUUUGUCUGUCUAUAAAUUGAGAAAGUAGGAAAUUUCUAAGGCUGCUUGUUAGUUAUAUGAUCUGUGAUCUAACCAUAUUGGUCAAUUAUAAAGUGUCAUGCCAGAGAUAACAUUUUAUGGGUCAAUUAGAGUAUGUGGUGACUGACUGGGGAAGUCAUAUAUGAUUUUAAUAAACUUCUUUUUAAAAAGAAAUGUAAGUUCUACAAAUCUACUAAACAUAUUCCUAGAUCCUUGAUCUCACCUUCACCAAAAGGUAUCUAUCUGAUCAAGUCCUUAUCAUAAUUUUCAAACAAUUUUAUUUAAGCCUUCUUAGGCUAGUUUCUAAUUUGGCACAAGAAGGUUCAAUGUAGAUCAUCUCCCUUGAUUCUUGGAUCUUAAGGAUGGGAAAUUGGAGGUCAUGGCACAAUUCAGCAGCAAGAGUAUUAGUGCAGCCCAGGUCCUGUGGUUUGGGCCAGGCAUCUCUCCAUUGCCAGAGGUUGCCUUCAGAAGUCUGAAUGGGACACAUAGCCCAUUUUCAGGCCUUGAGAAUUCCUGUGAGAAUUUCAAGCAAGCUUUUGUUUCAACAGCUCACAUGUGCAAGGGCCACCAAGAGUUUAGUAAUGUAAAUAGAUAACAUGUCAUCAUUUAGCCAAGGAAUCACAUUAUGAGCAUAUUCAAACCACAUUCAAAAGGACACCAGAUUUCCUUGAAACAUCUGUGGAUAAAGGAAGAAAAAUCAUGGUGGAUGUGUAGCCAGCCUCCAACAUGGGCUCCAAUGAUUCCUGCCUCUUGGUAUUCAAGUCCUUGUGCAGUUUCCUCCUACAAUGUAUCAUAAUUGGUCUUUGUGACCAAGAGAAUACAGCAGAAGUGAUGGCAUGUCACUUCUGAAGCUAGGUCAUAAAAGGUACUGUGGCUUUGUGGUAUAAUAAGAAAGACAUUCUAUCUUUGUCCAUAGUGCCUGGCACAGAACUCCUGUUGAGGAACCCCUGUUCCCUCAAACCCCUGGAACACCACACAGAGAACUAUCUCCAGGCCUGGACUUCCCCUGACUUGGAGACAGCCUUAUUCUCAGAUCUCUCUCUCUUUUAAAAUGGACUAUCCUCUUUACAACCCAGAGAGCCCCAUCCAAAUGUAAGGACUGGUCUCCAAGGGGGAAGGGGAGGAGGGAUGCCAUUUAGGGUUAUAGAUUCCCCAACUCUGCCAGCUCUAACUGGCCCCUGAGUUGCUACUAUGUAAAUUAAAUCUACCCUGCACCACCCCUCUGUCUCUAUAUAUAUAAAAAAAGUAGUAGGGUGAUAGGAGCAUAUGUGUUCUAAUGAGGCAACUCUUAGCAAGCCUCUAGAUAGCUUCAGGAUGGAGGCAGGUCAUCAGAAAGACCAAGCCUUCAUUAGAAGCUUGGAGCUUUCAGCCCCAACCCUCAACCUCCAGGUCCAGGGAAAAGGGGUUAGAGAUUGAGUUAAUCUUGAAUGGUCAGUGAUGUAAUUAAUUGUGCUUACUUAAUAAAACCUCCAAAAAAGCCCCUAAACAAUGGAGGUUUAGAAGAGCUUCUGGGUUGGUGAACACAUGGAGGAGCUGGGUGAGUGGUGCACAUGGAGAGUGCAUGGAAGCCUCCAACCCCCAUACCUUCUAUGAAUCUCUUCCAUUUGGCUGUUCCUGAAUUGUAUCCUUUAUAAUAAACCUGUAAUAGCAAGUAAAGUGCUUUCCUGAGUUCUGUGAGUAAUUCUAGCAAAUUAUUGAUCCUGGGCUGCCUGGUGGGGAUCGGGGAUGUGGUUGGGGAAAUGUCCGAGUUGGGGAGGUGCUGUUCUCUGAAAGGUAGCCUAAGACACCCCAUCUGCAGUUGGCAUCUGAAGUAGGGGCAGUCUUGUGGGAUUAAGCCCUUGACCCAGGGGUGUCUGCACUAACUCUGGGAAUUGGUAUCAGAAUUGAAUAGAAUUGUUGGACACCCAGUUGGUGUCCGAGUUGGUUGGUGUGAGUAAAAGCCUCUUAGAUUUAUUGCUUGUUCUCUUUUCCUAUCUGAUCCUUUCUCUCUGUCUCAGAUCACUCAUUGUGGAAGAAAUCUGAUGCCAUGUCUUGAGGACACUCAAGUGGCCUAUGGAGAGGCGAACAUAAAGACAAGAAACCCAAUCUCAAGCACUAUGAGACUCCCUCCUCUCCAUCUCCAAGGGUCAGGCCAUGGUCUUAGUCAUUGCCAAGAGCAUCACAGAAGGCCUCUGCCUCCGGUUCCUACCUGGGCCCUUUCUAUGCUCGUUAACUGAUGCUGCAGCCUGACUUCUUCAAGACUAAGUUGGGCUGUAUGCUUGCAGUCAUGGGAGGAAAACAAAAGAGGGUAUAAACACAAUGCAAUGCCUCGACACAUCACUCCAUCUCAGGGGGUCAGAAAAUAAAUUAAAUGUUAGGAAAAACAGAAAAGAAAUAAGCAACAUAGUGCCAGCCUUUGGGUUCUUAGACACUCAAAAGGAAACAGAAAGUACAGAAACAAUACACCAGGAAAUAAAAGAGGGCGUUUUUAGAAGUACCAUUUAAAUUGCAAGGGCUGCAGGAAUCAACAGAAGGAAAUAAUCGGGGCGAGGGGGAGGGGACUUAAUAAGAAUAAUAAUUAUAUAUAUUCCCUCAAAUUUGUAUGGAAUUUAUAAAUUACGAGGGACUUUUCGCACAUUUGUAACUUCAUUUUAGACACGCACAAUGAAAUUAAGUAAAAUGGGGUUGGCGGGACAGAUGGUAACAUCUUUAUUUUACAGAUGAGGAACUUGGACUCAGCUAGCUUUGGCGACUUGUUGAGAAAGUCAGAACCAGUUAGUUGUGGAAUAUAAAAUUGAGCUCGGCUCUCUUCCUACCUAGUCUUUUCUCUGCUCCGCUCCCACACUUCAGUGAGAGUUGCUUUCCUGAAGGAGUAAGUUCUAAAGCAGGAUUGGAAGUUCCUAUAGGGACAAAGAGAAGAGGCAUCCAUGAGUGGCAAGGAGUGUGAAAGGGAUGAAAAACACAUAGGAAGAAAUGGAGACAGGCAGAAGGUCCCAGCUACAGGACAGAAAAGCCAGGGUGUGGGCUUCUGAGAGAUGAUGCUGAGUGCAUGAGCUGGACUUGUGGAAUACAUACAGAAGAUGCCUCCAAUUACUGAGAGGUUAAGAAGAACAUUAUAUUGCCUCACAAAUCCUGUUUGUUACUGUAUAGAAUUGUAAGAAUUAUGGAAGAAACUGAAGGAAUUACUCCUCUAAAGCAGAUACUCCUGGAAAGUUACACAACUUGGCUAAUACUCUCCUGCUAGAGUUGGACAGGAAGACCUUACCAAAGCUGAAAGAUAAGAGAAACAUUUGUUUGGGCUGAGGCAGCUGUUUCAUGAAAUGCAACAUCAUAUCUCAUUUUUCUUCAUGAACUUCUCUCAUUUAACAAUUAGGCUGGAAGAACACACAUUACCAAUAGGUUCAGUCGUAUAACACUCAGAACCUGGAAAUAAUGAGUUGGAAGUUUCAGAUCCUACAAAAUAAAUCAGUUACUCCAUCAAUUCUAUAAUAUAAGGCAAAGAAUCUGAAAAUUGAAGGAAGAUAUUUUGAACAACACUGUGCAAAAGCUAUUGCUGAGUUAGGUAUUCAGUUAAGCCAAACACCACGCCUGGUUCUCAGUUUGUUUUGCAAAAGCAUUUAUUCUACAUUUUAAAUAUGCACAUGUUUCAACUUGGGCUAGAAAGACUUAACUAAAAAUAACACCACUAUCACCAAGUGAUGCUAUGGUUGACCGAUACUCCAGGAUUUGAAAAAAAAAUUCCCCAAAUGGUACAAAUUCCCCAAAUGCUACAAAUUCCCUAGGAACUGGAAGCUUUUCCUCUCCUUAAGGUGAAAGACUGCUUCUCCUCUUGGUGUUUUGCCAUUAAAAAAAGAAAGUAUUUAGCAAACAACUAGCAGAUCCAUCAAAAGGUUAGGAUUCUUUUUAUUUUAGUGCUCUUUCUUAAUGGGCAAAAUUGAUUGAUUAGUUCACCUGGAAUGUUCUUAGCCUUAGGGCAGAAACAGAGCUUUGUAUGCAUUAGUGGACUGGGUUUAUAAAAGAAAAAAGUCCACAUUCAAGAAUACAGAGAAUUUCAAAAAUACAAGAAAAUAGAAAAAAGAAAAACAAGGUCUGGAAGCAUAUUAAAAUUCUUGUAUUCAUUAAAAAUCAAAUGGCUGUGUUUUCAGUUGUAUUGAGUUAUCAUAUGUGCACUGGUUCUUUGCCUUAGUUCCAAAUGUACUCAUAUUAUCAUCUCUAAAUCCAUCUGGAUAGUUUAUACAGUGAACCCUGGAAUCACCUUAGUUUCUCCAAACUCCAUCUACUUUUUGAGAAAAAAAAAAAGCGUAAGGCAGACCUUUCCCCAUUAGAUCUCCAACCUCUGUUGCUCCCUUCCCUCACUUGUUGGUAAAACUACUUUCUGGAAAGUUUGUUUACCUUUCAGACAAGACAAGGGGUGAAACAGAGGAGCAACAACCUCCUUGCCGUUGGCUAGAAUGAAGUGAGGGGAGUUACCAGGAUGCAGUGGUAUUAAUCCCCUGUUACUCUGAUGUUACCUCAGACCCUCUUCUAUUUAUUUGGCCAUACUCCCAGCACAGUGAUUUACAUCUUGGAGGAAGUAGUAUUUAAAUGUAUGUGCAUAAGAUUCUGUUGGGGAGUUUAUUAACAAUGCAGAUUCCUGAGCUCUAGCCUGCUCUAUGAAAUCUGCAUCCCUAGCAGAUUAGCACCCAGGAAUGCUCAUCGAUAAGCUUUUCCAGCGAGUAUGAUUAGGUAGGUGGUCUCAUGACCACAUUUUGGGAAACACAGACUUAGGAUGAUAUGAAAAGUGACGUCAGGCUGUGCUAAGUGCCAAGCCUUGAGUGGAAAGGUGUUUUAAGUCGCUAUCUCAUCUCAGAGUACAUAAUAAAUAUUUAAAUUUGAGAAAACUAGUAUAUAAUAUAUAAGUAAAACCUGUUAUUAUUUGCUAUUGUUUUUCUUUAUGGUUUCCACACAGAUAUCUGAUCUGCCUUAAGCAUUAUUUGCCUUGGUGAUCUGUAAAUUCCUGAAAAAGGGCGAAAGCUUAGGUGACAUACACUCUAAUUAAUGUGGCCCUCAUAUACUGUUUAAGUAACAGAACCCUUACCACUUACAGCUGGAAAGACUUUUAAAAAAUGUAGCCCAAGCUUUUUAAUUUUUUCAGGUGAAGACGCUUUUAUGCAGAGAGAUGAACUAAUGUAGGAAUCAUUUUGUACAGGGGAGUGGUCUGAAAUAUUAAUGGGCUAUUUUAACCAUCAGCUUGAAUAAUUCAAAGGUGUCUGCUUAAUUCUUGUGCUUUCCCAGUUCAGAUGAAAAUAUCCACAAAGAGAACUAUGUAAGUAAAUACAAUUAAUCAUAAUCAAUCAUGUACUGUCUUGGAUUUCCCUAAAACCAAAACACUGAAAUGGACACAUGACAUCCUUCUGGUCCUAAUUUUCCACCAAUUCAUGAAACAUUUCAUGCUUUGCUUGGGACAGCACAAAUCUUUCAACCUCCAAUUAUAUUAAUAUUAUGAGGGCACUGAAGUGCCCAAAUGUGACAUGAAGUCCUUGAGUGUGGAAUGGCCUUUUCCAAUAGACAUACAGUUUGCAUAAAUGGAAAUGAACACAAUAUUAUCACCCCUUGAGAUUUCCUGGUUUUGGAACAAAGAGGUGGUGGUCCUGGAUGCUUUACAGUAUAAUCUCCUUUUAGAGAUUCUUAGUGCACAAUAUUAUAAAUUCAGAGUUCUUCUGAAAUAAAGAAAAACAUUACCUUUA